RNAcentral lists this ribosomal RNA (380 nucleotides) under uncultured eukaryote. Its description in RNAcentral is "partial 18S ribosomal RNA". It matches the Rfam family "Eukaryotic small subunit ribosomal RNA", at positions 592 to 976 of the family's 1831-position model. The record is from RNAcentral.
CAAUAGCGUAUAUUAAAGUUGUUGCAGUUAAAAAGCUCGUAGUUGGAUUUGUGGCGUACGGUGUGUUUCGGGCACUUGUUGUCUGAGUAACCUGCUGUUGCCAUCCUUGGGUGGAACCUGUGUGGCAUUAGGUUGUCGUGCAGGGGAUGCCCAUCAUUUACUGUGAAAAAAUUAGAGUGUUCAAAGCAGGCUUAUGCCGUUGAAUAUAUUAGCAUGGAAUAAUGAGAUAGGACUUUUUUGCUAUUUUGUUGGUUUGCGCAAAGAGGUAAUGAUUAAUAGGGACAGUUGGGGGUAUUCGUAUUCCAUUGUCAGAGGUGAAAUUCUUGGAUUUUUGGAAGACGAACUACUGCGAAAGCAUUUACCAAGGAUGUUUUCAUUAA